RNAcentral lists this ribosomal RNA (528 nucleotides) under Triticum aestivum (bread wheat). RNAcentral's name for it is "partial small subunit ribosomal RNA". The record is from RNAcentral. Lineage: Eukaryota; Viridiplantae; Streptophyta; Magnoliopsida; Poales; Poaceae.
UGGAAUGUCUGUGGCCUAAACUCCAGGGCCAAGCGUACUGCCAUUCGAUCGGUCAUCUUCACUGCUUCCCUUAACAUCGCCAGCCUCCAGGAAACCAAGUUGGAGGCUUUAUCGCUGCCCCUUGUCAUCGAGACGCUCGGCCCCAACUUCGCUGAUUUCUUCUUUCUCCCCAUGAUCAGAACAUGCGGUCGCACCCUUCUCGCUUGGCGGAGCAGUGAGAUCUCCAUCUCUAGCCCCUACAUUGGCCGGCAUCACAUUCUGAUACUAGUCUCCUCCCCCUCUAGUGCUAACCCGUGGUGGAUCACUGGGGUCUAUGGCCCACAGGACAACAAUGAGAAGCUAUUGUCCCUGGCUGACCUACGGGAGACCCGCGAGACCUGUGCUGGCCCCUGGCUCUUGGGGGCAACUUCAACCUCGUUCCCUUUGCUGAGGACAAGAGGAAUGGUCGCAUUAACCGGCGCACCUCUAGUUGUUUCCGUUGCUUCAUCGCCGACAUGGAGCUGUGAUAUGUCGCCAACGUAUCUAUAA